AUUGAACGCUGGCGGCAGGCUUAACACAUGCAAGUCGAACGAGCGGCGGACGGGUGAGUAAUGUAUGGGGAUCUGCCUGAUGGAGGGGGAUAACUACUGGAAACGGUAGCUAAUACCGCAUACCAUCAGAUGAACCCAUAUGGGCUUAGCUGGUAGGUAAGGUAACGGCUUACCUAGGCGACGAUCCCUAGCUGGUCUGAGAGGAUGAUCAGCCACACGAGGACUGAGACACGGCCCAGACGCCUACGGGAGGCAGCAGUGGGGAAUAUGGCACAAUGGGCGCAAGCCUGAUGCAGCCAUGCCGGUUGUAUGAAGAAGUCCUUCGGGUUGUAAAGUACUUUCAGUCGGUAGGCGUUACCGACAGAAGAAGCACCGGCUAACUCCGUGCCAGCCGCCGCGGUAAUAC
RNAcentral lists this ribosomal RNA (406 nucleotides) under uncultured bacterium. RNAcentral's name for it is "partial 16S ribosomal RNA". It matches the Rfam family "Bacterial small subunit ribosomal RNA", at positions 30 to 526 of the family's 1533-position model. The record is from RNAcentral.